GUGUUCUGCCUCCACCCUGACAUCCUCCGCUCGCUUCGAUCCCGGAUGGUGGUCGCGCCUCCGCCUCCCAAGAUUUUCGCGCCGCACCUCCACCAUUUUCGCCGCCGCACUCGCGACACCACCUCCCAGGGAGGAUCCACACCUUCUUGCCCCCGCCACCGCCUCUCGCCCGCGACCUCUUGCACCACGCGCCAGCCCGCACUUCCACCAUUUUCGCCGCCGCGCAUGCCGCACCCUUCCAUCCUUGCCUCUGUCGUCCUCGACGACCACGCCCGCGGCCACGAAUCUCGCCUAUGACAAAGCAAGGAUCGAGCUCCCGCCUUCCAACCUCAGCAGCUCUUUCCAUCGUCACGUAUACAUUGACGUCUCCUUCCAUCCACGCCAAAAGAGACGGCCUUCAAUCCCGUGACCACUGCCCCUGCUCCCGCCCUCCAUCCCUCCUCCAUCUCGUGCUGCUCCUUCGGACUUCGGAUCCCAUCGCCCCGCUCGCCUCGACUCCACCUCUACCUCCUUGGUGGGAGAGAGAGAGAGAGAGGGAGAGAGAGAACCAGACCACCAGCAAGCAUGAGGCAGAGGAGGAGCAUGGCGUGGAUUCUGCGGACGUGAAAUCUUGUUCCUUCUGUGACUUAAUAUGUUAUUAUCUUGUUCCUUCUGUGAAGU
Molecule: unclassified non-coding RNA, 660 nt
Filed under: Zea mays
Lineage: Eukaryota; Viridiplantae; Streptophyta; Magnoliopsida; Poales; Poaceae
Description: misc RNA Zm00001eb033300
Source: RNAcentral